Arabidopsis lyrata subsp. lyrata is the source of this 4860-nucleotide long non-coding RNA. RefSeq lists it as uncharacterized. Lineage: Eukaryota; Viridiplantae; Streptophyta; Magnoliopsida; Brassicales; Brassicaceae. The transcript is spliced from 2 exons. The record is from RefSeq and is a predicted model, not a curated record.
AAGAAUUUAAUCUCUCCCACUUAAGCUUUGCUGAUGACACUUUGGUGUUCACCGAAGGAACUCCACAGUCUCUCCAUGCUACGCUAGAGGUAUUUGCAGACUUUGCGUGUAUGUCGGGCCUAAAUAUAAACAUCUCCAAAUCCUCGAUUUUUGCUGCGAGCAGAGGUAAAGCUUCCCUUGAGCAAGCUGCGGUGAAUUCUGGUUUAGAGGUAUGUGCAUUACCUAUUCGUUAUCUUGGACUUCCGCUUACAACAAAAGCUAUGUCUAGGGUCGAUUACGAACCGUUGAUUGAUACGAUUAGAGACAGAUUAACAAGCUGGACUACGAGGUUUUUAUCCUAUGCAGGUAGGGUCCAACUAAUCAAAUCGGUCAUAGCAAGCAUCACAAAUUUUUGGUGCUCCGUUUUCACCCUCCCGAAGAAAUGUUUUAAGGAAAUCGAAGGCAUGUCUUCUGUGUUCCUUUGGAGUGGCUCUCCAAAUAUUCUUUAUUUGGAAGGUACUAUCAGGCUCUGGUUCUUUAUGGGUAGCAUGGGUCCGUCGGUAUCUAAUAUGGGAAGGCACACUCUGGGAUGUAAAGGAGACUACUCUGGGUUCAUGGCAAUGGCGAAAACUUUUAAAGUUGAGGCCAUUGGCAGCUGAGUUUAUGAAAUGUGAAAUUGGAGAUGGAGAAACACUUUCUUUUGGCUUGAUAGAUGGCUUCCCAUGGGACGGCUGAUGGACAUAUUGGGGACUACAAAUCAGCUUGGAAUCUCUAAAUUCGCUAAAGUCUCUGAGGUAGUAGAUACAUCGGGAUGGAGAUUCCGCAGAUGUCGGGACAAAAUUUUAAGGGAUAUAAUCCAACACAUACGACGAAUCAAGGUACCAACAGGUAAUGCGGGAAGGGAUGUGGUUCUGUGGCGACACUCACCGGAUGACUACCGACCAGUGUUUGCGGCUGCUACUACAUGGGAACAGCUGCGAACACGUGGAGAAGCAAAGGAAUGGUGUAAGAUUGUCUGGUUCCCGCAAAAUGUCCCUCGGUUUGCUUUUAUCACCUGGUUGGCAAUAAGGGAUAGACUCACCACGGGGUCACGGAUGAGAGCAUGGGGAGAUAGUCAAUCCUGCCUCUUAUGUGGGAAACUGGAGGAAACACGUGAUCACUUAUUUUUUGCAUGUCUUUAUUCUUUCAUGGUGUGGAUACGGGUAGUGGGUGACCUGCUCCGGGCUGACCCGGAUCCUGACUGGACAGCGACGGUUCAGAGGCUAACAACACAUUCGUUUGAAAGAUAUGACUACAUUCUCAUCCGGUUGUGUUUCCAAGCAACUAUAUACUACUUAUGGCGAGAGCGUAACGAAAGGAGACACAGUAAGUAGCACCGUACACACUCAUUGUUGGCUAGGACGAUUGAGCGGGUGAUAAAGACAAGAAUCAUGUCUUUGAGAUACUUUGAAAGUAAGAAGCUAAGAGGUUUGAUGCAAAGAUGGCACAGUUCACAUUCGACUUAAUAGGUGGCUAUUGCUCUGUUUUGCUAUACGUUUCUUUGCUCUGUUUUUCUACUCAUGUUUUGGCUCUGAUAUUUGUUCAUUUACCGACUAUCUAUAAGAUUGUUAACUCGUUACAAUGGGUCAACAAGUGAACCAUUACUCUUUGCUGGUCUCGGGAAUUGAGCUGGAAUCCAGGGAUCCUCCCAAACUGAUAUGGAUGUCUCCGAUCUGACACUUUUGAUAAGUCCUUUAUUAACCAAAGAUCUAGCUGAACAGAUACUACGCCAUCCAUAUGAUGGGGAGUAUGAUUUUAUAUUUUCCAAGGGAUUGGAUUUCCGAAAAUACUGCCCUUUUAACACCUUCGCGAAAAGAAAAUCUGGAACUGUAAUCAACCGCCACAAUUGUUUGGCUAAUUGGGCUGAAGUAAAAUCGUCUACAUUCUGAAAACCUAACCCUCUUUCCGAUUUGCUAUUGCACAACUUGUUCCAAGCCAUCCAGUGCAUACCUCUGGAAUCCCCAUUUGAACUCCACCAAAAUUUAGCAACCGCACUAGUAAGUUUAGAAGUGAUUUUUUUGUUAGUCCGAAGCACGACAUAACAUAAUUUGGUAAUGCUGCAGCUACCGAUUUAAUCAUUACUUCUUUCUCACCUUUUGAUAAAAAUUUUGCCGACCAUCCAUUAAUUCUUAUUUGCAAUCUAACUAUGACAAAAGAGAAAAUUUUUGUUUUAGAUCCACCCAAACACUCUGGCAAACCGAGAUAAGAGCCCAUCCCACCGAUAUUAAUGAUUCCCAAGGUAGAUUUGAUUUCAUCCUUGAUAUCCUCAUCUACCUUAUGUCCAAACUGAAUCGAGGAUUUUAAAAAAUUAAUCCGCUAUUCUGACACCGCUUCAUAUUUCUUUAAAAUCACCAAAAUUACCUCACACUGGUCCUUGUUUGCCGUACAAAAGAAUAAACUAUCAUCCGCAAAUAACAGAUAGAAAACCGAUAGGCUUGCAUUUGCUAUCUUAAUACCUGUAAUUAGUUUUUCCCUUUCUGCUUUCCGAAUAUUCACAAUUAGCACCUCUUUACAAAAGAUGAAUAAAUAAGGAGAUAGCGGAUCUCCUUGUCAUAAUCCCCUUUCCGGUACAAUUAGUCCUCUAGGUUGUCCAUUAAGGAGCACUCUAUAUUGAACUGUUGUAAUACACCACAUUAUCUAGUUGAUCCAUUUUUCGCAGAAACCCAAUUUUCUUAGAACCUUCUCAACGAAAAUCCAUUCCACCCUAUCAUACGCUUUACUCAUAUCAGUUUUAAUAGCCAUGAAAUUUCCUUUACAUGAAGGUUAGUUCUCAACCUAUGAAACAUCUCUUGUGUAAUAAAUAUAUUAUUAGAAAUCAAUCGUCCUUCGACAAAAGCCGACUGUGUUUCCGAGAACAGUUUUGGUAAAACUGUUUUAAGUCUUUGACAAAGAAUCUUUGAUAUAAUUUUAUAGCCCACAUUACACAGACUUAUAGGCCGUAAUUCUGGCAUCGGUGUCGGUCUUUCCGUUUUUGGAAUUAGACAAAUGUUAGUCGUAUUUAACCGUUUGUCGAAAAUUCCAUGCUCUAAAAAAGAAUUAACCUAAACAAGAAGAUCUGAUUUAAUUGUAAGCCAAGCCUUUUGAAAAAAUAAGGCUGUCAUGCCAUCGGGCCCUGGCAAUUUUUCCAGAUGGUUCAGAAACAGAGCUGUUCUCACCUCACUCCGUAGCAUGUACCGUUAGAAAAUUAUUAAGCCGAUUCGUAAUCAGACUUUGUAUUUCUGCCAAGGACUCCUCUAAAGCCUCGGUCUUAGUUGUAGUAAACAGAUCUUUAAAAUAAGAAACAACUAUAUUUUGAAUAUCUUUAUCCUCUGCAGACCGAAUCCCGUUUUCAUCAUAUAGCCCCGUAAUCAGAUUCCUUGCCCGUCUCUGUUUUGUUAGAGCGUGAAAGUACUUUGAGUUAUUAUCUCCUAGUUGCAUCCAAGAGCACCUACUUUUUUGAUACCAGUACAAUUCUCAUCUCAAUAAGCUUCUUUCAACCGCAAUGUUAAUUCCGUAAUCUCCUGUCAUCACUCUGUGCCACCUGUAAUUCCGAUUUAAGUUCCACAAUUGUUUGUCGCCCAUAAGGAGUUAGUUCUUUCCUCCAUUGCGAAAUAGCCCGCCUACAGUUAUUCAACUUUUCCACAAAUUUUCCUUCUCCUAAUUCAGAAUCCGAAUUCCAACCAUUUGAAAUUGCCUCCAUUAAUCCUUCCUUUCCAAUCCAUCUCUUGUAUAACCUAAAACUUUGUUUCCCGCGUGGUAUCUACUAUACAUUUUUGCAGCAGUUUUAAGGGAUCCUAAUCGGGUCGGAUUUUUUUUAAUUUUGACCCCGGAAAUCUUUGUUGAUUCUGACCCGGAAAAUUCAAUCUCGGAUCUUACCUUAAUUGAUCAUUUGACCCGAAAUAUCUCAAUCCAAUCCUACCAUAUUUGAUACUUUCCUACAUAAAAUCCAAACCACAUUUACUCAAUAUAUCAAGAGUAUAUGUAGUUAUAACUUAUAAUAAACCGAUAUUUGCAAAUCAAUUUGUUUUUAUAAACCGAUAUUUGCAAAUCAAUUUGUUUCCUAAUAAAAUGCUAGAGAUUUAAGCGUUUAGCAUUUGUUUCCUAACAAAAUUGAACCAUAUUAAUUUGAUAUUCAAACAUUCUGAAAUUACGAUAUUUUUUAGAUAUUUUUACUUGCUCACCAAGAUUUUCUCUGCUCACACAAAACCCUACCAUAUAUCUUUUCAAAGCACUAUAUAUAUAUAUAUAUAUAUAUAUAUAUGUCUCAUUCGCAUCAACUAAUAUCACAAGGAUCGCAACUAAGAUCAAAAGGUAUUUAUGUCUCAUAUUUUCUUAAACACAUUUUAUACUCAUCUAGGAACUCAAUAGUUUCUUCUUUUAAAAGAAUAAGAUCACAAUGUAUGAAUGCCUAUAGGCUCAAGAAAAGCAUCGAAGUUCAGAUGAGGGUGAGCCACUAUUCGAUUGUAUAGACUCUAAAGAAGAGUACCACACAAAAAAUGCAGAUCAUUACAUUGCAUCCUCAAGUGCACGUGAGGAUUAUACCAAAUCCAUUGCUAAUUGUUUUGCAUAUCCAAUAAACCUAUCCAAGAACCAUCUUUAUGUAUUUUCUUGAAGCUAUGUUAUUCUUUGGAUUAUCAAAUAUAUAUUAUUUUUUGAUUUGCUAUAUACUUUUAUAUAUAGCAGCAAUAUAAACCACAUCAACAGAUAAGUCAGACUCAACAUUAAAAUGAGUAAGAACUAUCUAAAUGAUAUUCUCCAACAUAGAAACAAACAAAGCUUCCAAACUAUCAUGGAAAGAAGAAGUCAUUGCUUUUCUACAUUUAAGAAGACUUCAAACUAAUAACUAUUCACAGUAUUUUGAAA